GAUGAACGCUGGCGGCGUGCUUAACACAUGCAAGUCGAACGGAAAGGCCCAAGCUUGCUUGGGUACUCGAGUGGCGAACGGGUGAGUAACACGUGGGUGAUCUGCCCUGCACUUCGGGAUAAGCCUGGGAAACUGGGUCUAAUACCGGAUAGGACGAUGGUUUGGAUGCCAUUGUGGAAAGUUUUUUCGGUGUGGGAUGAGCUCGCGGCCUAUCAGCUUGUUGGUGGGGUAAUGGCCUACCAAGGCGUGGACGGGUAGCCGGCCUGGGAGGGGGUACGGCCACAUUGGGACUGAGAUACGGCGCAGACUCCUACGGGAGGCAGCAGUGGGGAAUAUUGCACAAUGGGCGCAAGCCUGAUGCAGCGACGCCGCGUGGGGGAUGACGGCCUUCGGGUUGUAAACUCCUUUCGCUAGGGACGAAGCGUUUUUGUGACGGUACCUGGAGAAGAAGCACCGGCUAACUACGUG
Molecule: ribosomal RNA, 468 nt
Filed under: uncultured bacterium
Lineage: Bacteria
Description: partial 16S ribosomal RNA
Rfam family: Bacterial small subunit ribosomal RNA
Source: RNAcentral